GGGGGCGUACUGGUUUCGAUCCGGGCAACGCGUCGGCGGUGGCAUGCCGAGGAUGGUACGUUGGCCUCGUUAAUCAUCGGACCGAAACAAUAAAUGCUAACGAAGAAUUAGCUCUCGCGGCAUAGUUCCGCGACGUCUCACCUCUGACACCUGCUGCGGGGUUGAGGCGUCAAUAGCAGGUGUAGGAAUGGGCUGGAGCGGGCGCGGCCUUGACUGAAAACAGAUUGCUGCCGGCUGCCGUAUGUGAUUGCUGGCCAGAAGGUGAACACAUACCUAAGAAUCUCUUCUGGACAAGCAUGUAGUCACUUCCGGUAAAUUAUCCGGAGACGCGGGUUCAACUCCCGCCGCCUCCACCA
Molecule: transfer-messenger RNA, 356 nt
Filed under: Verrucomicrobiia
Lineage: Bacteria; Pseudomonadati; Verrucomicrobiota
Also listed under: 1 other name
Description: UBA1412 sp017557085 Standard tmRNA
Rfam family: transfer-messenger RNA
About the family: Bacterial tmRNA, also known as 10Sa RNA or SsrA, is named for its dual tRNA and mRNA-like properties. Its role is to liberate the mRNA from a stalled ribosome.
Source: RNAcentral